Molecule: ribosomal RNA, 497 nt
Filed under: uncultured bacterium
Lineage: Bacteria
Description: partial 16S ribosomal RNA
Rfam family: Bacterial small subunit ribosomal RNA
Source: RNAcentral
GAUGAACGCUGGCGGCGUGCCUAAUACAUGCAAGUCGAGCGAACGGACGAGAAGCUUGCUUCUCUGAUGUUAGCGGCGGACGGGUGAGUAACACGUGGAUAACCUACCUAUAAGACUGGGAUAACUUCGGGAAACCGGAGCUAAUACCGGAUAAUAUUUUGAACCGCAUGGUUCAAAAGUGAAAGACGGUCUUGCUGUCACUUAUAGAUGGAUCCGCGCUGCAUUAGCUAGUUGGUAAGGUAACGGCUUACCAAGGCAACGAUGCAUAGCCGACCUGAGAGGGUGAUCGGCCACACUGGAACUGAGGCACGGUCCAGACUCCUACGGGAGGCAGCAGUAGGGAAUCUUCCGCAAUGGGCGAAAGCCUGACGGAGCAACGCCGCGUGAGUGAUGAAGGUCUUCGGAUCGUAAAACUCUGUUAUUAGGGAAGAACAUAUGCGUAAGUAACUGUGCACAUCUUGACGGUACCUAAUCAGAAAGCCACGGCUAACUACGUG